GCGCGAAACCUCCGCAAUGCGAGCAAUCGCGACGGGGGGACCCCAAGUGCUACUCUUAACGGGGUAGCUUUUCUAAAGUGUAAAAAGCUUCAGGAAUAAGGGCUGGGCAAGACCGGUGCCAGCCGCCGCGGUAACACCGGCAGCUCAAGUGGUGGCCGCUUUUAUUGGGCCUAAAGCGUUCGUAGCCGGCCUGAUACGUCUCUGGUGAAAUCCCGCAGCUUAACUGUGGGAAUUGCUGGAGAUACUAUCAGGCUUGAGGCCGGGAUAGGCUGGAGGAGCUUCCAGGGUAGGGAUGAAAUCCUAUAAUCCUGGGAGGACCACCUGUGGCGAAGGCGUCCAGCUGGAACGGACCUGACGGGGAGUAACGAAAGCCAGGGGCGCGAACCG
Molecule: ribosomal RNA, 387 nt
Filed under: uncultured bacterium
Lineage: Bacteria
Description: bacterial SSU rRNA
Rfam family: Archaeal small subunit ribosomal RNA
Source: RNAcentral